This 256-nucleotide long non-coding RNA is filed under the name Mytilus galloprovincialis (Mediterranean mussel). Lineage: Eukaryota; Metazoa; Mollusca; Bivalvia; Mytilida; Mytilidae. The record is from RNAcentral.
GGGUUUCAGAUAUAAAGGAUUAUGUUAUCUGUUGUUCUCACAUAGGCUUCUGGAUGGUUGCAAUGUUACUGACUGAUAAUCUUCACAAGGAACAAAUGAGAACCAUAAAGAUAUCAGUCGGCCGACCGACACUCGAAAGAUUUUGUUGCUUGAUAAUUGGAUUGAGCUGUGAUAGUGAUUUAGCAACAACUGUAAAACAAAAGAACCAUGCAAAGAAGAAAAAACAAUGGUUGAAAUAAAAUUUGGCAAAACCUUU